RNAcentral lists this ribosomal RNA (877 nucleotides) under Chironomidae sp. Chiro_H1. Its description in RNAcentral is "bacterial SSU rRNA". It matches the Rfam family "Eukaryotic small subunit ribosomal RNA", at positions 23 to 865 of the family's 1831-position model. The record is from RNAcentral. Lineage: Eukaryota; Metazoa; Arthropoda; Insecta; Diptera; Chironomidae.
AUAUACGCUCGUCUCAAAGGUUAAGCCAUGCAUGUCUAAGUACAAACUAAAAUAAAGUGAAACCGCAAAAGGCUCAGUAUAACAGCUGUAAUUUCUUAGAUCAUAUUCCCAGUUACUUGGAUAACUGUGGAAAAUCUAGAGCUAAUACAUGCAAUAAAUACGAGGAACCGUCAAAAGUUUCUCGUGCAGUUAUUAGACAAACCAAUCGACCCUCGGGUUGUUUUAUAUGGUGGAACUCUAGAUAACUUUGCUGAUCGUAUGGCCUUGUGCCGACGACAGAUCUUUCAAAUGUCUGCCCUAUCAACUUUUGAUGGUAGUAUAGAGGACUACCAUGGUUGCCACGGGUAACGGGGAAUCAGGGUUCGAUUCCGGAGAGGGAGCCUGAGAAAUGGCUACCACAUCUAAGGAAGGCAGCAGGCGCGUAAAUUACCCACUCCCGGCACGGGGAGGUAGUGACGAAAAAUAACAAUAUAGAACUAGUUAACUAUGUUCUGUAAUUGGAAUGAAUCAAGUAUAAAUCCUUUAAUGAGGAUCAAGUGGAGGGCAAGUCUGGUGCCAGCAGCCGCGGUAAUUCCAGCUCCACUAGCGUAUAUUAAAAUUGUUGCGGUUAAAACGUUCGAAGUUGAUUGUUGUCCAGUACGGGUGUGGCACCGCUUAGUGCGGUUGCUAUCAUUUCCGAUGACUUGGACUAUAUGACUGAACACUAAAUGAAUAGCAUUGAUGCCUUUAACUAGGAUAGAUGUCUAUUUAGUUCGGCUUACUUUUACCUUGAACAAAUUAAGGUGCUCAAAGCAGGCUCUAAUGCCUUGAAUAUUUUUGCAUGGAAUAAUGGAAAAGGACCUCGGUCUUAUAGAUGCGUAGCAGCAAUGUUGCGUAU